GAUGAACGCUAGCGGCAGGCCUAACACAUGCAAGUCGAGGGGUAACAUAGGAAAGCUUGCUUUUCUGAUGACGACCGGCGCACGGGUGCGUAACGCGUAUACAACCUACCUUUUAGCGGGGAAUAGCCCAGGGAAACUUGGAUUAAUGCCCCAUAGUAUAUAGACUUCUCCUGAAGUUUAUAUUAAACAUUUAUGGCUAUUAGAUGGGUAUGCGUCCUAUUAGUUAGUUGGUAAGGUAACGGCUUACCAAGGCAGCGAUAGGUAGGGGUCCUGAGAGGGAGAUCCCCACACUGGUACUGAGGCACGGACCAGACUCCUACGGGAGGCAGCAGUGAGGAAUAUUGGACAAUGGGCGAGAGCCUGAUCCAGCCAUGCCGCGUGCAGGAAGACUGCCCUAUGGGUUGUAAACUGCUUUUUACAGAGGAAGAACCACCCCCACGUGUGGGGGGUUUGACGGUACUCUGCGAAUAAGGAUCGGCUAACUCCGUG
RNAcentral lists this ribosomal RNA (489 nucleotides) under uncultured bacterium. RNAcentral describes it as "bacterial SSU rRNA". It matches the Rfam family "Bacterial small subunit ribosomal RNA", at positions 28 to 507 of the family's 1533-position model. The record is from RNAcentral.